UACGUAGGGGGCUAGCGUUGUCCGGAUUUAUUGGGCGUAAAGAGCGUGUAGGCGGCCAGGUAGGUCUGCUGUGAAAACUCGAGGCUCAACCUCGAGACGUCGGCGGAAACCAUCUGGCUAGAGUCCGGAAGAGGAGAGUGGAAUUCCUGGUGUAGCGGUGAAAUGCGCAGAUAUCAGGAAGAACACCGAUGGCGAAGGCAGAUCUCUGGGCCGUAACUGACGCUGAGGAGCGAAAGCGUGGGGAGCGAACAGG
RNAcentral lists this ribosomal RNA (253 nucleotides) under uncultured bacterium. RNAcentral describes it as "partial 16S ribosomal RNA". It matches the Rfam family "Bacterial small subunit ribosomal RNA", at positions 524 to 776 of the family's 1533-position model. The record is from RNAcentral.